UCUCCCGUCAGCGGGGCGGGCUCCGGGCAGGCCGCCCCAGGGAGCGGAGCGGCGCGCGAGCCCGCAGGAAGCGGCGGCGGGGCCGGAGGAAGCGCGGCCGGGGCUCCCCCUGCUCCCGGCGCUCCCCAUUGUUCCCCGGCCGCCUCUUUUCGCGCCGCUUUCCGCCGGCGGGGAGGAGGGAGAGCCCCGGGCCCCGCAUGCUGUGUGCUCGCAGGCAGUGGCGCGGGGGGACCCGCCGGGAAACCGGGCUCAUGAGUAGAGAGGAGCCUUUAGAAGUGCCAUCCACUGAGGGAGCUCCGUGAGGCUGUAGCUCACGUGUUACUUGAAAGUUGCAUCUGUUUAGCUGCAGCAUGUAUCUUUUUGCACAUAGGAAAAGAUCACAGCUUUCUCAACAAAGACCCAGUCUGAAAAUGGAGUAAAAAUUACUGUGAGAAGUUUGCUUUCUGGAAGGAAGUGAGUUUUCCUGCUCUACAGCUCCAAGUCCCAUUAUCAAUUUACGUUUUCUAAUAUAGUAUGCAUUUUAUAUCGAGUCUGUUAUUUUUUUUGAAGAUUCUUCUGGUGAUUAUAUUCAACUGGUAAUGUGGCUUUGUAAAUUAAAGACUUUUUCUUGUGCA
Molecule: long non-coding RNA, 614 nt
Organism: Parus major (Great Tit)
Lineage: Eukaryota; Metazoa; Chordata; Aves; Passeriformes; Paridae
Exons: 2
Source: RefSeq, a predicted model, not a curated record